CGAGCGAGCUUGCCUAGAUGAAUUUGGUGCUUGCACCAGAUGAAACUAGAUACAAGCGAGCGGCGGACGGGUGAGUAACACGUGGGUAACCUGCCCAAGAGACUGGGAUAACACCUGGAAACAGAUGCUAAUACCGGAUAACAACACUAGACGCAUGUCUAGAGUUUAAAAGAUGGUUCUGCUAUCACUCUUGGAUGGACCUGCGGUGCAUUAGCUAGUUGGUAAGGUAACGGCUUACCAAGGCAAUGAUGCAUAGCCGAGUUGAGAGACUGAUCGGCCACAUUGGGACUGAGACACGGCCCAAACUCCUACGGGAGGCAGCAGUAGGGAAUCUUCCACAAUGGACGCAAGUCUGAUGGAGCAACGCCGCGUGAGUGAAGAAGGGUUUCGGCUCGUAAAGCUCUGUUGGUAGUGAAGAAAGAUAGAGGUAGUAACUGGCCUUUAUUUGACGGUAAUUACUUAGAAAGUCACGGCUAACUACGUGCCAGCAGCCGCGGUAAUACGUAGGUGGCAAGCGUUGUCCGGAUUUAUUGGGCGUAAAGCGAGUGCAGGCGGUUCAAUAAGUCUGAUGUGAAAGCCUUCGGCUCAACCGGAGAAUUGCAUCAGAAACUGUUGAACUUGAGUGCAGAAGAGGAGAGUGGAACUCCAUGUGUAGCGGUGGAAUGCGUAGAUAUAUGGAAGAACACCAGUGGCGAAGGCGGCUCUCUGGUCUGCAACUGACGCUGAAGCUCGAAAGCAUGGGUAGCGAACAGGAUUAGAUACCCUGGUAGUCCAUGCCGUANACGAUGAGUGCUAAGUGUUGGGAGGUUUCCGCCUCUCAG
Molecule: ribosomal RNA, 821 nt
Filed under: uncultured bacterium
Lineage: Bacteria
Description: bacterial SSU rRNA
Rfam family: Bacterial small subunit ribosomal RNA
Source: RNAcentral